Molecule: ribosomal RNA, 947 nt
Filed under: uncultured bacterium
Lineage: Bacteria
Description: bacterial SSU rRNA
Rfam family: Bacterial small subunit ribosomal RNA
Source: RNAcentral
GGGCGUGGGUUAUCGGAUUACUGGGCGUAAGCGUGCGCAGGCGGUUUUGUAAGUCUGUCGUGAAAGCCCCGGGCUCAACCUGGGAAUUGCGAUGGAGACUGCAAGGCUUGAAUCUGGCAGAGGGGGGUAGAAUUCCACGUGUAGCAGUGAAAUGCGUAGAGAUGUGGAGGAACACCGAUGGCGAAGGCAGCCCCCUGGGUCAAGAUUGACGCUCAUGCACGAAAGCGUGGGGAGCAAACAGGAUUAGAUACCCUGGUAGUCCACGCCCUAAACGAUGUCUACUAGUUGUCGGGUUUUAAUUAACUUGGUAACGCAGCUAACGCGUGAAGUAGACCGCCUGGGGAGUACGGUCGCAAGAUUAAAACUCAAAGGAAUUGACGGGGACCCGCACAAGCGGUGGAUGAUGUGGAUUAAUUCGAUGCAACGCGAAAAACCUUACCUACCCUUGACAUGUCAGGAACCCCCGAGAGAUCGGGGGGUGCCCGAAAGGGAACCUGAACACAGGUGCUGUAUGGCUGUCGUCAGCUCGUGUCGUGAGAUGUUGGGUUAAGUCCCGCAACGAGCGCAACCCUUGUCAUUAGUUGCUACAUUCAGUUGAGCACUCUAAUGAGACUGCCGGUGACAAACCGGAGGAAGGUGGGGAUGACGUCAAGUCCUCAUGGCCCUUAUGGGCAGGGCUUCACACGUCAUACAAUGGUACAUACAGAGGGCCGCCAACCCGCGAGGGGGAGCUAAUCCCAGAAAGUGUAUCGUAGUCCGGAUCGUAGUCUGCAACUCGACUACGUGAAGUUGGAAUCGCUAGUAAUCGCGGAUCAGCAUGUCGCGGUGAAUACGUUCCCGGGUCUUGUACACACCGCCCGUCACACCAUGGGAGCGGGUUUUACCAGAAGUAGGUAGCUUAACCCGCAAGGAGGGCGCUUACCACGGUAGGAUUCGUGACUGGGGUG